Molecule: non-coding RNA, 119 nt
Organism: Cryptococcus depauperatus CBS 7841
Lineage: Eukaryota; Fungi; Basidiomycota; Tremellomycetes; Tremellales; Cryptococcaceae
Source: Rfam
AUCUCCAACCAUAGUUUUGUUUAAGCAUCAAUACGCUUCCGAUCUUUGAUGUUAAGUAAGGGAGCGCGUAGUUAUUACCAGAGUGGGAGACCACAAAGGAAUCCUGGAUGUUGUAGGGU